ACACCGGCGGCCGGGCCAAGGCCGGCGCGUCGAAGGCGGCCGGGAAGACCGGUGGUGGCCGUGCCGGUUCCGCCGGCUCGGCGCG
Molecule: transfer RNA, 85 nt
Filed under: Virgisporangium ochraceum
Lineage: Bacteria; Bacillati; Actinomycetota; Actinomycetes; Micromonosporales; Micromonosporaceae
Description: tRNA-Ser
Source: RNAcentral